CAGUCGCCGCGGGAAUACGGAGGGUGCAAGCGUUAAUCGGAAUUACUGGGCUUAAAGCGCGUGUAGGCGGGACGGCACGUCGACUGCUGAAGUCCCUCGGCUUAACCGAGGAACGGGCAUCGAUACGACCGUCCUGGAGGGACGUAGGGGGACCUGGAACUUCCGGUGGAGCGGUGAAAUGCGUUGAGAUCGGAAGGAACGCCCGUGGCGAAAGCGAGGUCCUGGACGUCUACUGACGCUGAGACGCGAAAGCUAGGGGAGCGAACGGGAUUAGAUACCCCAGUAGUCCCUGUCUCUUAUA
This 301-nucleotide ribosomal RNA is filed under the name uncultured bacterium. RNAcentral describes it as "partial 16S ribosomal RNA". It matches the Rfam family "Bacterial small subunit ribosomal RNA", at positions 509 to 808 of the family's 1533-position model. The record is from RNAcentral.